Molecule: ribosomal RNA, 485 nt
Filed under: uncultured bacterium
Lineage: Bacteria
Description: bacterial SSU rRNA
Rfam family: Bacterial small subunit ribosomal RNA
Source: RNAcentral
AUUGAACGCUGGCGGCAGGCCUAACACAUGCAAGUCGAGCGGAUGAGUGGAGCUUGCUCCAUGAUUCAGCGGCGGACGGGUGAGUAAUGCCUAGGAAUCUGCCUGGUAGUGGGGGACAACGUUUCGAAAGGAACGCUAAUACCACAUACGUCCUACGGGGAGAAAGCAGGGGACCUUCGGGCCUUGCGCUAUCAGAUGAGCCUAGGUCGGAUUAGCUAGUAGGUGAGGUAAUGGCUCACCUAGGCGACGAUCCGUAACUGGUCUGAGAGGAUGAUCAGUCACACUGGAACUGAGACACGGUCCAGACUCCUACGGGAGGCAGCAGUGGGGAAUAUUGGACAAUGGGCGAAAGCCUGAUCCAGCCAUGCCGCGUGUGUGAAGAAGGUCUUCGGAUUGUAAAGCACUUUAAGUUGGGAGGAAGGGCAGUAAGUUAAUACCUUGCUGUUUUGACGUUACCAACAGAAUAAGCACCGGCUAACUUCGUG